GGGGGUGUCACGGUUUCGACUGGGAAAUGAAGUAUUGAUUGCAUGCGGAGGUAUUCGGCUGGCCUCCUAAAAAGCCGAUAAAACAAUAAAUGCAAACGACAAAAUCGUUGCGCUAGACUUCGCAAACAACGAGUGUGAACUUGUUGAGUGUGCUGCCUAGUUUGUAGCUCAAACCUAACAGUUUGAGCAACACGAUAGCCUAAGGUUGGACCAGGGGCCUUAGAAUCUAUCGAUAUAUCACUUGGUGUGUGCCUUGUUUCCGACGCUUCCAGGAAACACUGCUCGAGAAUAAACGAAGCGGCUUUCAGUUAGUGUGGCAUCUUGCAUCGACUGCGAGCUCAACACUCAAGAUGCUAAGCAUGUAGAUAUCUUUAUGUAGUUUGCUUAGGACGAGAGUUCAAUUCUCUCCACCUCCAAUU
RNAcentral lists this transfer-messenger RNA (419 nucleotides) under Parachlamydiaceae. Its description in RNAcentral is "JACDGH01 sp013815395 Standard tmRNA". It matches the Rfam family "transfer-messenger RNA". Rfam says of the family: Bacterial tmRNA, also known as 10Sa RNA or SsrA, is named for its dual tRNA and mRNA-like properties. Its role is to liberate the mRNA from a stalled ribosome. To accomplish this part of the tmRNA is used as a reading frame that ends in a translation stop signal. The record is from RNAcentral. RNAcentral also lists the same sequence under 1 other name. Lineage: Bacteria; Pseudomonadati; Chlamydiota; Chlamydiia; Parachlamydiales.